GGUCGAUGAAAAGCUAACACAAUGCCCAAUCUCAUCUGACCUUGGAAGCUAAGCAGGGUUGGGACUGGUUAGUACUUUAGAUGGGAACUAAGUGAAUACCUUCUCAACAACAA
This 113-nucleotide ribosomal RNA is filed under the name Urocitellus parryii (Arctic ground squirrel). The record is from RNAcentral. Lineage: Eukaryota; Metazoa; Chordata; Mammalia; Rodentia; Sciuridae.